RNAcentral lists this transfer RNA (74 nucleotides) under Bradyrhizobium diazoefficiens. RNAcentral describes it as "tRNA-Arg". It matches the Rfam family "tRNA". Rfam says of the family: Transfer RNA (tRNA) molecules are approximately 80 nucleotides in length. Their secondary structure includes four short double-helical elements and three loops (D, anti-codon, and T loops). The record is from RNAcentral. Lineage: Bacteria; Pseudomonadati; Pseudomonadota; Alphaproteobacteria; Hyphomicrobiales; Nitrobacteraceae.
GAAGCCGAGCGACUGGAUAGAGCGUUGCCCUCCGAAGGCAAAGGUCACACGUUCGAAUCGUGUCGGGUGCGCCA